GACCGCCGGCGCGAACAUGAACGUCAAGGACGCAUCAGGCCUCACGCCGCUCCUCGCCGCCGUUUCAAACGAUAAACCAGCGACGGCCAUGGCGCUCAUUAGAAAGGGGGGAGCAGUCCAUGUAACAGAUGCCUCUCGGCAGUCUUGCCUUCACCUUGCCUCCGCUCAGGGUUCUAGUGAGCUAGUUUCCAUGCUGUUACGCUUUGGUGCGCUCAACCUUCGCAACGUGGAACAGAAGACGGCCUUAUAUCUAGCAGCUGAGCACGGUCACCACGAAUGUCUGGAGAUGUUGGCCGCUGCAGGUGAGCUCACAUCUCCCUAUGGCAGCAGUCGAUCAAGGCCAGACCACCCUUGUCACCCUUAAGGUGCAAAUUGCCUCCGAAAACUCCCAACAUGCAACUACAGAAUGUUGG
Gadus macrocephalus (Pacific cod) is the source of this 413-nucleotide long non-coding RNA. RefSeq lists it as uncharacterized. The transcript is spliced from 3 exons. The record is from RefSeq and is a predicted model, not a curated record. Lineage: Eukaryota; Metazoa; Chordata; Actinopteri; Gadiformes; Gadidae.